AUUGUAUCUGCUUCUUAAUUACAUCUGCAUUCAACUGCUGAUUAAUCUGCAUAAGAUCCUUCUACCAUGGGGAGAGAUAUCUGCUCCUUCUUGCAUCAUCAAGGGAUCUCCAGCCACCAUACUUGGAAGUGAGUAUUCUGAUCCACAUGUCCCCUUGUUUCUGAAACACUUCCCACCUCCACUUUCCUAGCAAUGCCGUGUUAAAUGC
RNAcentral lists this unclassified non-coding RNA (208 nucleotides) under uncultured bacterium. RNAcentral describes it as "contains 16S-23S intergenic spacer region". The record is from RNAcentral.